Molecule: RNA transcript, 2420 nt
Organism: Motacilla alba alba
Lineage: Eukaryota; Metazoa; Chordata; Aves; Passeriformes; Motacillidae
Gene: SHISAL2A
Gene name: shisa like 2A
Exons: 5
Source: RefSeq, a predicted model, not a curated record
CUCACGGCGCUCUCCCGCCCUCCGCUCCCGGCCCUGAGGGCGCGGGCAGCUCCCGCCGCUCCCCGCCCUGUGGCAGCCCCGGGGCCAGUGGGCGCGGCGGUGCCCGCCGCCAGCGCAGCCCCCUGCCCGCCCGGCUCCGCCCGCCACAGCCACCUCGCCUCGCCUCGCCUCGCCUCGCCUCCCGCCCGGGUGCCACCGAGCCCAGGCGCCGGGCGUGCAGCGGGCGGGCGGCCGCGCCAUGAGCGCCGAGUGCAGCAGUUACCUCAACGCCGACAAGGUGCUGGUGAGCGGGUUCAGCUGCCCGCGGGCGGGCGGCGACGCCCGCGCCGUGUUCUGCUGCGGCUUCCAGGAUGUCAAGUACUGCUGCGAUGACCCCCACAGCUUCUUCCCCUACGAGCACAGCUACAUGUGGUGGCUCAGUGUUGGAGCACUCGUGGGCCUGUCAAUAGCAGCAGUGGUCCUCUUUGCUUUUAUCAUCACUGUGUGUGUUCUCUGUUAUUUGUUUAUCAGCACCAAGCCACGCAGCAAACUUGAUACUGGUUUGAGCUUACAGACAGCAGACAGUGAGGCCAGAGGGAGUUCAAUAUGUUAAAGACAGAGGCACUGAAUGGAUUCUACCAAUGUUAUGAAGAAAAGAGAUACAGAACUGCAUCUCUAACAAAGCCCCCACCAAAACAAGCUGUUGACAGAGCCAAGUAACUUCAAGACACUUCCUAAGCCACAAGGAUGGACUGUGUCUAUUCUUCAUCAAAUCAUGUUGGAAUAUUUCUUGGGAAGCAAACUAAAAUUUUCCAGUAGUAUUUCAGUUUGGAGCACUAAUUUGUGAAGUGUUGAACUUCCUUCAGGUAAUCAAAGAGCUCUAAUUGCACAUUUUAUUUCCCCAGAAGUCUUAGGAACAACCAACAUAGUCUUAACUGUCAUAUUUGAGUUGUCAGUUCUUUCAAGCUUUCAAUCUUGAAAUCAUGAACAUUAAUGAUAAUGAUUUCUUUUCAUCUUGUGAGGGUUCUUUAAGGUGAGUGAUCAAAAGAAUUUCAAAAUUGUUUAACCAUGCUGUUGAUAUUAAGGCAGUAGACAUUAUAACUUCCAUUUGCAGAUGAGGCCUAAAAUAUUUACCUACCAUGUCAAUUUUGUCUGUAGUUAUACUUCAACUUGUUAAGACAGAAUCCUUGUCUACUGUUUGGGAGUGACAUCUUUUUGUGUGAUAAUGCUUGAAAUUUAAACUCUGUAGCUGUCUGGUACUGUGCAUCAAAACCCCAAAAUGCUUCUGAUCUCAUCUGCUCUUGUGUGAAAUAAUACACCAGUGCCUCCCGUUGAAGUAGAGAAUGUGGUGUAUGUUCUUCCAAUAGCUGUCUGUAUGUAAUAUCUCAUUAAACUGCUGUUUGCCACUAUGGACUGGGAGAAAAUUGAAACCACAUCAGAUGCAUAAAGAAAAUGUUUUUAUAACAACAGGACAUAAACCUGAUCUUCCAGCCUCAUAACUCUCUUGACUGGGACUGUCAAAGAGCAGAAGGGAAAGGAUUUAUGAGUUUUGCCAUCUGGUUUCCUUGGAGGAUGCCAGCCAUGAGAUAAACGUUCUGGAAGCAUAUGCUUCAGUUUGAACCACCAAUAAAAGAUUUAUGGAAGAUGAAAAAAAAAGAUUUAAGUUAUUUUAACUUCAUACAAAUUUGAGUCAGCACUUCUUUAAUUUUUAAAUUCUAAAGAUACUUAAAAUUAACAAGAUGUACUAGAUAUUUUGAAUGUUGCAAGUUUAAAAUAUCUUUGAUUUCUGUCUCUUGGGCAAUUUCAAAAUCUUUGAUUCCUCAAAUAACAAGGUUAUUUUCCUCUCAGAUACUGGACUACUUAUUCAUUUUGAGUCUCUUAAGACACCACAGUAACAGAAUUAAAAGUAAAAAACAGAAUGCAAAAAGAAUUAUUCCAAUUCUUUGGUUAUGUCCAAUGUCUGUCUGUGUUUUCUGUCACUGUGCUUAGGAAAACCCAUUCCUUUGCCCUUUAGCUAGUUGUUUUGUAAUUGAGGGUUUCUAAAUGUCACCAAAAAGUACCUCCCACACAGGUUUGAUUAGGGAAUCAGCACACUGCCCAGAACAGCUUUCAAAUGUAAUGUGCAGUCACAACAAGGGUGACUCCUUGUGCUAAAUAGGCGUAAUAAGCCUUAAUGUACUUGUUAGACAUAGCCCUAAUUUUUGCCCUGGGAACAUUUUAAGCUUAAAUUGCUUAAAUUACCACAUAAAGCAAAUUCAGGGCUGUUGUGCCAUCAGCUAUACAGAAGCUACUAAAUCUCACAGGAGUUGCUGUGAGCAUUUUUUAUUGUUUCUUGAAGUUGAGGAGUUUUUCUAAUCAGAGGGCCAAAAUAGAAGUUGUGUGAAAUAGGCCUGUCAGACUGUGGGAUGUAGAAAGUGUGUUUGUGUACAGAUACCAGCAGA